UUCCGGUUGAUCCCGCCGGACCUGACUGCUAUCGGAUUGAUACUAAGCCAUGCGAGUCAUUGUAGCAAUACAAGGCAUACGGCUCAGCAACGCGUAGUCAACCUAACCUAUGGACGGGAAUAACCUCGGGAAACUGAGAAUAAUGCCCGAUAGAACACUAUACCUGGAAUGGUUUGUGUUCCAAAUGAUUUAUCGCCGUAGGAUGGGACUGCGGCCUAUCAGUUUGUUGGUGAGGUAAUGGCCCACCAAGACUAUUACAGGUACGGGCUCUGAGAGGAGUAGCCCGGAGAUGGGUACUGGGACACGGACCCAGGCCCUAUGGGGCGCAGCAGGCGAGAAAACUUUGCAAUGUGCGAAAGCACGACAAGGUUAAUCCGAGUGAUUUGUGCUAAACGAAUCUUUUGUUAGUCCUAGAACCACUAACGAAUAAGGGGUGGGCAAGUUCUGGUGUCAGCCGCCGCGGUAAAACCAGCACCUCAAGUGGUCAGGAUGAUUAUUGGGCCUAAAGCAUCCGUAGCCGGCUCUGUAAGUUUUCGGUUAAAUCUGUACGCUUAACGUACAGGCUGCCGGGAAUACUGCAGAGCUAGGGAGUGGGAGAGGUAGACGGUACUCGGUAGGAAGGGGUAAAAUCCUUUGAUCUAUUGAUGACCACCUGUGGCGAAGGCGGUCUACCAGAACACGUCCGACGGUGAGGGAUGAAAGCUGGGGGAGCAAACCGGAUUAGAUACCCGGGUAGUCCCAGCUGUGAACUAUGCAAACUCAGUGAUGCAUUGACUUGUGGUCAAUGCAGUGCUGCAGGGAAGCCGUUAAGUUUGCCGCCUGGGAAGUACGUACGCAAGUAUGGAACUUAAAGGAAUUGGCGGGGGAGCACCACAAGGGGUGAAGCCUGCGGUUCAAUUGGAUUCAACGCCGGA
Molecule: ribosomal RNA, 914 nt
Filed under: uncultured crenarchaeote
Lineage: Archaea; Thermoproteati; Thermoproteota
Description: bacterial SSU rRNA
Rfam family: Archaeal small subunit ribosomal RNA
Source: RNAcentral